ACUACGCAUACAUAUCAGCCUUCACGAGGCGCGUAGUGAACAACUGCAUAGUGCAGGCCAAUGAUAUG
This 68-nucleotide non-coding RNA is filed under the name unclassified sequences. The record is from RNAcentral.